RNAcentral lists this ribosomal RNA (497 nucleotides) under uncultured bacterium. RNAcentral's name for it is "partial 16S ribosomal RNA". It matches the Rfam family "Bacterial small subunit ribosomal RNA", at positions 28 to 507 of the family's 1533-position model. The record is from RNAcentral.
GAUGAACGCUGGCGGCGUGCCUAAUACAUGCAAGUCGAGCGAACGGACGAGAAGCUUGCUUCUCUGAUGUUAGCGGCGGACGGGUGAGUAACACGUGGAUAACCUACCUAUAAGACUGGGAUAACUUCGGGAAACCGGAGCUAAUACCGGAUAAUAUUUUGAACCGCAUGGUUCAAAAGUGAAAGACGGUCUUGCUGUCACUUAUAGAUGGAUCCGCGCUGCAUUAGCUAGUUGGUAAGGUAACGGCUUACCAAGGCAACGAUGCAUAGCCGACCUGAGAGGGUGAUCGGCCCCACUGGAACUUAAGACCGGUCCAGACUCCUACGGGAGGCCGCCGUAGGGAAUCCUCCCGCAUGGGGCGAAGCCUUGCGGAGCAAACCCGCGUGAGUUGAUGAGGUCUUCGGAUCGUAAAACUCUGUUUUUAGGGAAAAACAUAUUUUUAAGUAACUGUGCACAUCUUGACGGUACCUAAUCAGAAAGCCACGGCUAACUACGUG